This 301-nucleotide ribosomal RNA is filed under the name uncultured bacterium. RNAcentral describes it as "partial 16S ribosomal RNA". It matches the Rfam family "Bacterial small subunit ribosomal RNA", at positions 509 to 807 of the family's 1533-position model. The record is from RNAcentral.
CAGUAGCCGCGGGAAUACAGAGGGUGCAAGCGUUAAUCGGAAUUACUGGGCGUAAAGCGCGCGUAGGUGGUUUGUUAAGUUGGAUGUGAAAUCCCCGGGCUCAACCUGGAAACUGCAUCCAAAACUGGCAAGCUAGAGUAUGGUAGAGGGUGGUGGAAUUUCCUGUGUAGCGGUGAAAUGCGUAGAUAUAGGAAGGAACACCAGUGGCGAAGGCGACCACCUGGACUGAUACUGACACUGAGGUGCGAAAGCGUGGGGAGCAAACAGGAUUAGAUACCCGAGUAGUCCCUGUCUCUUAUAC